This 96-nucleotide non-coding RNA is filed under the name Elizabethkingia anophelis. RNAcentral's name for it is "SAM-I-IV sequence". It matches the Rfam family "SAM-I/IV (S-adenosyl methionine) riboswitch aptamer". Rfam says of the family: It is found upstream of a number of genes which code for proteins involved in methionine or cysteine biosynthesis. The record is from RNAcentral. Lineage: Bacteria; Pseudomonadati; Bacteroidota; Flavobacteriia; Flavobacteriales; Weeksellaceae.
CAUAAUUAUCAAGAACUUCAAGAGAAGUAGCAACCUGCAACAACAAGCAAGGUGCUGAAAUAGAUAAGCCGAUAUUUCGGAAAAAAUGUUGUAUUC